This 253-nucleotide ribosomal RNA is filed under the name uncultured bacterium. Its description in RNAcentral is "partial 16S ribosomal RNA". It matches the Rfam family "Bacterial small subunit ribosomal RNA", at positions 524 to 776 of the family's 1533-position model. The record is from RNAcentral.
UACGUAGGUGGCAAGCGUUGUCCGGAUUUACUGGGCGUAAAGAGCGCGCAGGCGGUCGUUCAAGUCGCGUGUGAAAGCCCCCGGCUCAACUGGGGAGGGUCACGCGAUACUGAUCGACUCGAAGGCAGGAGAGGGUAGUGGAAUUCCCGGUGUAGUGGUGAAAUGCGUAGAUAUCGGGAGGAACACCAGUGGCGAAGGCGGCUCACUGGUCCGGUACUGACGCUGAGGUGCGAAAGCGUGGGGAGCAAACGGG